AUGGAGAAACGUGAUGAUGAGUUGCUGUUAGUUUGCUUUUGUGACGACAGGGAUAUUGCUGCCCACAUAAACCCUGAUGUCCUGAAAACAUGUUUACAUGUUGGAGACAGCUGGGCCAAAUGGACAGUUCCCUACCGGCCUGAGGACUUCCCUGAGAUGGAGAUCUUGUGGCAGCUGACCUGCGCCUGGAACACAGGCAUCCUGCUUUACAGCCUGGCCGAGUACCCUGAGGGGUGGUGUGGCCUGGGCAUGAGCUUCCUCCGCCACCUGGGCUCCCUGCAGGAGAGCUACCAGACACAGGUGUCAGAUCUGUACACAGGUCCUGGAUAGUCUGGACAAAGCCAAGAAGAACCUCAUCAUGGAGGAGUGAUUUGAGCUGGUAGAGCUUUGCAGAGCUCUUUUACUGUCUGGUACCUGAUAUUAUUAAUGUGGUAGCUGGGAUGGUAGUUUACUGUAUGAUGUCUCACUGGUUCUUGUAUGACUGACUGGUCUCCAGUUUAGUCAGCUCCUCCAGGAUGUCAGUUGCAUCCUGCCCUCCCCCAAUAUUUCCCUAUGGAGAGUUCAGAUAACUGUUUCUAGUUAAUGUUUUGGUACUUCUGUACAUGAAUGGACUUUAUUUUAUGCCUCUCGCAUGUAAAAUUCAUAUGAAUGUAAUAUAUGUAAAAUUGUAUUUGUCUUAUUUAAACAAAUCAUCUUAAACUGCCAAUACCAGUGGACUCAAAUAAAACAUCAAAAUCAUAACCGAGUCACAUAUUUUAUUAUUUUCAAACAAAUAAACUCUUGUCCAGUCCAAAACAAAACCCCAAACAAAAUAGGCUGCAGGACUGUUCCCUCAUGACUAGGACAGGGAAGACCGUUCGGCCCAGCGUCCUGAUAGGCUCUACCACCUGUGGUGUGACAGGAAGGAAACUACUGUACAAUCAAAGGGUUCGCAAGCACUUACUGCACAGGUGUGCUGUCAAACAACUCAUCACCCAAAAGGACAAACCAUAACCUGACCGACCCCACCCCCCCAGAGCUCAUGUCUCUCUCACUGGAACAAAGACCCUCAUCAAUUAUACAAACACAGAGGCAUUUCGGUUCAAUCUUGUUCUACCGCAACCGCAAUAGAAAUAAUACAAUUAAAUCUAGUUCUUUGGGCUUUAUUGACAUGGCUGACCGAGAGGUAUAAAUACCAGACGUUAACAGUCUGGUGUUUAGUUGAAACACAGCUGAGGAGCAGUUCUAAAACUUCUAAAUGAGAUAAUGAUCAAUGCACCUCAUGGUUUCUGGAAUAUCACCUUGUAGGUUGCUGCCUGGGUCUCAUCUUCAUUUUUUACAUAAUUGUUUUAAUCUAUACACCCAGACACCAUUUUCCACAAGAAAUAACAUGUAGACAGGCCCUACUUGAGGGAAUUACAUUCCCAACUGACAAACAUUUUUCCAAUAGGCAGCUGAAGAUUUGUCUAUAGAGAAAUACCAACAUUACAGCACAUUUGUAUGGAAAUUAUAUCUCAGAAUAGCUCAGUUUACUUACCUGACAUUUGUGAUCUAUAAAACAUGUUUUGCCCCAGUUUGUUUCACACAUGCAUGAAGCACAGGUGAGGGGGAUCUGCUGGGGGCAUAUUUACAUUUGACAGCUACCACACCCUUUGAAACAGUCUGUAUGCAGUUUAUAAAUGGCUCUGUUCCCUUCGGUUAUUCCCUGAACUCUGGUUUUGACACAGGUAAUGACAGCUGGUUUAGCAGUGGCGCCUGGCAGGUGGGCACACCUGUUCAGAAAAUGCCUUCAGGUACAGGUGCUUUAGGGGGAAGUAGGGGACCCAGAGCGCUAGGUGACAACUUCCUGUGGGCAUAUAGAAGAUGGUCUGGCUCUCAGGCAUCUGAGAAAACUCUUUCCCCUCUACCAAAAAAAGGUGGAAAAUCAAAAAUGUUCACAGGGUAGGGGGCCACAGCAUUCCUUAUUCUUCAACAAGUCCCCUCACAUGUACACAAACACAGUGCCAAGAUCCGCAAAGGGAGAUGGGGCAGGUCAUUUCAAUCCUGUUGAAUCCAUACAGCCAACUCAGGCAAGGGUUUACCACAGAAGUGGUCUUCACAAAGCUUCACCGCAUCAUAAGAUAGACAUAUUACAUUCGCUUAUUAAAUGCAAAUGCCUUUAAAAAUCGCUCAGAUCGUUCAGUCAAUUACUCUCAUUCACAUUUAACAGCUUUGAACUCUCCAUGUCUCCUUUCAAACAUGGUGUUUCAGUCACAGGGGAAAUUAAAUCUGUGUGUUAGAUUCCUGAGCUGACCUAGCUCGCCCCAGACAUGCCAUUGGGUUCAUAACACAGUGGUUCAACACAUGCCCAGAACUAAUUCAAAAAUGAUUUAAAAACUUUAGAUACACAGCGCAUAUACAGUGUAUUCGGAAAGUAUUCAGACCCCUUGACUUUUUCUACAUUUUGUUAAGUCACAGCCUUAUUCUAAAAUUGAUUAAAUACUUAAAUCUACACACAAUAACCCCAUAAUGACAAAGCAAAAGUUGUUUUAAUGUUAGCAAAUGUAUAAAAAAUAAAACUGAAAUAUCACAUUUACAUAAGUAUUCAGAACCUUUACUCAGUACUUUGUUGAAGCACCUUUGGCAGCGAUUACAGCCUCGAUUCGUCUUGGGUAUGACGCUACAAGCUUGGCACUCCGUAUUUGGGGAGUUUCUCCCAUUCUUCUCUGCAGAUCCUCUCAAGCUCUGUCAGGUUGGAUGGGAAGCGUCACUGCACAGCUAUUUUUAGGUCUUGCCAGAGAUGUUCGAUCGGGUUCAAGUCCGGGCUCUGGCCGGGCCAUUCAGAGACUUGUCCCGAAGCCACUUCUGCAUUGUCUUGGCUGUGUGCUUAGGGUCGUUGUCCAGUUGGAAGGUGAACCUUCGCCCCAGUCUGAGGUCCUGAGUGCUCUGGAGCAGGUUUUCAUCAAGGAUCUCUCUGUACUCUGCUCCAUUCAUCUUUCCCUCGAUCCUGACUAGUCUCCCAGUCCCUACCGCUGAAAAACAUCCCAAAAGCAUGAUGCUGCCACCACCAUGCUUCACCGUAGAGAUGGUGCCAGGUUUCCUUUAGAUGUGAUGCUUGGCAUUCAAGCCAAAUAAUUCAAUCUUGGUUUCAUCAGACCAGAGAAUCUUGUUUCUCAGUCAGUCUUUAGGUGUCUUUUGGAAAACUCCAAGUGGGCUGUCAUGUGCCUUUUACUGAGGAGUGGCUUCCGUCUGGCCACUCUACCAUAAAGGCCUGGUUAGUGGAGUGCUACAGAGAUGGUUGUCCUUCUGGAAGGUUCUUCCAUCUCCACAGAGGAACUCUGGAGCUCUGUCAGAGUGACCAUUGGGUCCUUGGUCACCUCCCUGACCUUAAAUCUACACACAAUAAUGAGGCACAGAUCUGGGGAAGGGUACCAAAACAUUUCUGCAGCAUUGAAGGUCCCCAAGAACACAGUGGCCUCCAUUCAUAAAUGGAAUUAAUAAUAAUUGGAACCAACAAGACGCUUCUCCCACGAUUGCUCAGUUUGGCCGGGCGGCCAGCUCUAGGAAGAGUCUUGUUGGUUCUAAACUUCUUCCAUUUAUGAAUGGAGGCCACUGUGUUCUUGUGGACCUUCAAUGCUGCAGAAAUGUUUUGGUACCCUUCCCCAGAUCUGUGCCUCGACACAAUCCUGUCUCUGAGCUCUACAGACAAUUCUUUCAACCUCAUGGCUUGGUUUUUGCGCUGACAUGCACUGUCAACUGUGGGACCUUAUGUAUGUACGUAUAUACACACACAUAUAUAUAUAUAUAUACAUACACACACACAUAUACACAGGUUUGUGCCUUUCCAAAUCACGUCCAAUCAAUUGAAUUUACCACAGGUGGAUUCUAAUCAAGUUGUAGAAACAUCAAGGAUGAUCAAUGGAAACAGGAUGCACCUGAGCUCAAUUUCAAGUCUCAUAGCAAAGGGUCUGAAUACUUAUGUAAGUAAGGCAUUUCUGUUUCUUAUUUCUAAUACAUUUGCACAACUUUCUAAAAACCUGUUUUCGCUUUGUCAUUAUGGGAUAUUGUGUGUUGAGAAAAAAAAAGUAUUUAAUCCAUUUUAGAAUAAGGCUGUAAUGUAACAAAAUGUGAAAGAAGUCUGAAUACUUUCCGAAUGCAAUGUAGGUUUUAAUCAAAACCCCUCUUUAGUGUUAUUUUGGGUGGGGGGGGAAAGAGGACAAUCCAAAAGCAGGUUAAAUUGCCUCUUUGUUAGGACAUCCAAUACAAGUAUUGUCUUGUUCUACCCGUUUAAGGCCACCUUCAUGAUGGCAUAUUCAGGACAGUACCAUGUGACCAUUCAAUCAGAAGAGACACUCCUCUUGGAAGGUAGAGAGUGUAAUAGGGUGAUCUGCUGCUCAACGUGGGUCAGGGAGCUAUGGCUGCCUAAAUUGGAAUCCAAUCAAUUCUUAAAUUACAACAGGAAAAAGGGUCAAAAGAAUACAGGGGGAAGAUAGAAAUCCACAGAAGUGCGAUGCAUUCGUCUAUUGCACUCACAAGUUAGGCCUCCUGGAAGUCAGGAGACAACGCAGAAAAAGUGAACAUUUAAAAUAAAAAGUUCGAUCUGUUUUUUUCAUUGUCAAUUAUUUAUAGCUUCCCUCAAAGUACAGGUAGUAAUAUAACAAUUUGUAUUUGAUGUAAGGCAGUUUGGUGUUUUGCAGAGAGCCCUGUUACACUUCUCUACCCCCAUCCUUUACACAGAGCAGCUAAAAACCACAAGCCAAAAAAAUCCCCCCUCCAAAAAAAAAUAUCUAACAGCCCUCCAAGUAGACAAUUCUAGUGAAGUGUAAAACGUGUAGUUUUUAAUAUGUAGUAAAAUCGC
Salmo trutta (river trout) is the source of this 4816-nucleotide long non-coding RNA. The record is from Ensembl. Lineage: Eukaryota; Metazoa; Chordata; Actinopteri; Salmoniformes; Salmonidae.